This is a long non-coding RNA of Schistocerca nitens (vagrant locust), 153 nucleotides long. RefSeq lists it as uncharacterized. The record is from RefSeq and is a predicted model, not a curated record. The transcript has 3 exons. NCBI's taxonomy places the organism in Eukaryota, Metazoa, Arthropoda, Insecta, Orthoptera, Acrididae.
GCCUCUGGACGCUUCAUCCCUUCUCGCCGGCGACACCUGGCAGCCCGCAGGCGAUUAACGAGAAGCUGACAACAACCUCAACGAAAGAAGGUGUCAGAGGCUGCCUACCAAGACAGAUGGACGGCGUCCUUGGCGUGGCCUGAGAUGGAGGAC